This is a ribosomal RNA of 857 nucleotides. The stretch from base 426 to 857 matches the Rfam family "Eukaryotic large subunit ribosomal RNA", at positions 1 to 938 of the family's 3401-position model.
UNANUAGAACUUUCAGAGAGAGGUUCAAGGAGUUACGCUGGAAACUGCUCAGCAGGGUAAACGGGUUGGGGCCCUCGCAAAUCCAUGUGGCGGGAGGAUUCAGUCGCACAUACGAUAGGGUAGUUCGUUCCGGUGGAACCCAUUCGCGGGCAGACCGGUUCGUUCAGACCCGUCGGAAGCGACGCAUUUCUUCCCGCUCUGAGGACGUCGCAGCCGGUUGGGUUGUGACCGAGUCGCCCGUGAGGGCGGACGCUGGAUGGUGGGCCGAUGGGAGUACGUCCUCCGCCGGUCUUUUAUCCGGUCCGCCCGAGGUGCGACACCCGACCGAGGUGAAAGAAGGGGUCCCGGAAAUGGGGCCCUGCCGUCCCCUGCCCUUCGCGGGUAGCGCGCGCAUCGAGCAGGCCAGUGGAGGUCGACGGGGCUGUCACUCUAGUAGUGUGCGCCGUUACUCCGCAGACUAGUGGCUUGCCAGCGCCCCGCUGGGGAAAUGGCGGCUUGCGGCGAGUAAGUCGGUAACCCACCCGACCCGUCUUGAAACACGGACCAAGGAGUCUAACUUGUGCGCGAGUCAUGGGGUCUUGAACAGGCCCAAAGGCGCAACGAAAGUGAAGGUCGCACCCAGCCCAGGGUGACGGCCGAGUUGGGAUUCCGCGUCCUAGCGGCGCGGAGGCACCAGCGGCCGGCGAAACACGAUUUAUCGGUAACGCCGUGCUUGAGCGCAUACGUUGGGACCCGAAAGAUGGUGAACUAUGCCCGGCCAGGGCGAAGUCAGAGGAAACUCUGAUGGAGGCUCGUAGCGCUUCUGACGUGCAAAUCGAUUGCGAGAGCCGGGUAUAGGGGCGAAAANAANUAAUCAA